AACCUCUGCAAUAGGCGAAAGCUUGACAGGGUUACUCUGAGUGAUGCCCGUUAAGGGUAUCUUUUGGCACCUCUAAAAAUGGUGCAGAAUAAGGGGUGGGCAAGUCUGGUGUCAGCCGCCGCGGUAAUACCAGCACCCCGAGUGGUCGGGACGAUUAUUGGGCCUAAAGCAUCCGUAGCCGGUUCUGCAAGUCUUCCGUUAAAUCCACCUGCUCAACAGAUGGGCUGCGGAGGAUACUACAGGGCUAGGAGGCGGGAGAGGCAAGCGGUACUCAGUGGGUAGGGGUAAAAUCCUCUGAUCCACUGAAGACCACCAGUGGCGAAGGCGGCUUGCCAGAACGCGCUCGACGGUGAGGGAUGAAAGCUGGGGGAGCAAACCGGA
This 381-nucleotide ribosomal RNA is filed under the name uncultured archaeon. Its description in RNAcentral is "bacterial SSU rRNA". It matches the Rfam family "Archaeal small subunit ribosomal RNA", at positions 345 to 728 of the family's 1478-position model. The record is from RNAcentral.